Molecule: ribosomal RNA, 257 nt
Filed under: uncultured bacterium
Lineage: Bacteria
Description: partial 16S ribosomal RNA
Source: RNAcentral
CUGCUGCCUCCCGUAGGAGUUUGGGCCGUGUCUCAGUCCCAAUGUGGCCGUCCACCCUCUCAGGCCGGCUACUGAUCGCUGCCUUGGUGGGCCGUUACCCCGCCAACUAGCUAAUCAGACGCGGAUCCAUCGUAUACCACCGGAGUUUUCACACUGCCCCAUGCGGAGCCGUGCGCUUAUGCGGUAUUAGCACCUAUUUCUAAGUGUUACUCCCCGGUAUACGGCAGGUUAUCCACGCGUUACUCACCCGUCCGCCA